This 440-nucleotide ribosomal RNA is filed under the name uncultured bacterium. RNAcentral's name for it is "partial 16S ribosomal RNA". It matches the Rfam family "Bacterial small subunit ribosomal RNA", at positions 338 to 795 of the family's 1533-position model. The record is from RNAcentral.
CCUACGGGAGGCAGCAGUGGGGAAUAUUGCACAAUGGGGGAAACCCUGAUGCAGCGACGCCGCGUGAGUGAAGAAGGAAUUCGUUAUGUAAAGCUCUAUCAGUAGGGAAGAAAAUGACGGUACCUGAGUAUGAAGCCCCGGCCAACUACGUGCCAGCAGCCGCGGUAAUACGUAGGGGGCAAGCGUUAUCCGGAUUUACUGGGUGGAAAGGGAGCGUAGACGGUAGUGCAAGUCUGGAGUGAAAGGCGGGGGCUCAACCGCCGGACUGCACUGGAAACUGUACGGCUGGAGUGCAGGAGAGGUAAGUGGAAUUCCUGGUGUAGCGGUGAAAUGCGUAGAUAUUAGGAGGAACACCAGUGGCGAAGGCGGCUUACUGGACUGUAACUGACGUUGAGGCUCGAAAGCGUGGGGAGCAAACAGGAUUAGAUACCCGAGUAGUC